This 248-nucleotide ribosomal RNA is filed under the name uncultured bacterium. RNAcentral describes it as "partial 16S ribosomal RNA". It matches the Rfam family "Bacterial small subunit ribosomal RNA", at positions 57 to 305 of the family's 1533-position model. The record is from RNAcentral.
GCAAGUCGAACGGAAACAUGUAUAGCUUGCUAGAUGAUGUCGAGUGGCGGACGGGUGAGUAAUACUUAGGAACAUGCCUUUGGGUGGGGGAUAACUAUUGGAAACGAUAGCUAAUACCGCAUGAUGUCUACGGACCAAAGGGGGGUGCUUGCUCCUCCCGCCCAUAGAGUAGCCUAAGCGAGAUUAGCUUGUUGGUGAGGUAAAGGCUCACCAAGGCGACGAUCUCUAGCUGGUCUGAGAGGAAGAUC